This 498-nucleotide ribosomal RNA is filed under the name uncultured bacterium. RNAcentral's name for it is "partial 16S ribosomal RNA". It matches the Rfam family "Bacterial small subunit ribosomal RNA", at positions 30 to 523 of the family's 1533-position model. The record is from RNAcentral.
AUUGAACGCUGGCGGCAUGCCUUACACAUGCAAGUCGAACGGUAACAGGUCUUCGGAUGCUGACGAGUGGCGAACGGGUGCGUAAUACAUCGGAACGUGCCUAGUAGUGGGGGAUAACUACUCGAAAGAGUGGCUAAUACCGCAUGAGCUCUACGGAUGAAAGCAGGGGAUCGCAAGACCUUGUGCUACUAGAGCGGCCGAUGGCAGAUUAGGUAGUUGGUGGGAUAAAAGCUUACCAAGCCGGCGAUCUGUAGCUGGUCUGAGAGGACGAUCAGCCACACUGGGACUGAGACACGGCCCAGACUCCUACGGGAGGCAGCAGUGGGGAAUUUUGGACAAUGGGCGAAAGCCUGAUCCAGCAAUGCCGCGUGCAGGAUGAAGGCCUUCGGGUUGUAAACUGCUUUUGUACGGAACGAAAAGCCCCGGGUUAAUACCCUGGGGUCAUGACGGUACCGUAAGAAUAAGCACCGGCUAACUACGUGCCAGCCGCCGCGGUAA